Molecule: transfer RNA, 66 nt
Filed under: pig gut metagenome
Rfam family: tRNA
About the family: Transfer RNA (tRNA) molecules are approximately 80 nucleotides in length. Their secondary structure includes four short double-helical elements and three loops (D, anti-codon, and T loops). Further hydrogen bonds mediate the characteristic L-shaped molecular structure. tRNAs have two regions of fundamental functional importance: the anti-codon, which is responsible for specific mRNA codon recognition, and the 3' end, to which the tRNAs corresponding amino acid is attached (by aminoacyl-tRNA synthetases). tRNAs cope with the degeneracy of the genetic code in two manners: having more than one tRNA (with a specific anti-codon) for a particular amino acid; and 'wobble' base-pairing, i.e. permitting non-standard base-pairing at the 3rd anti-codon position.
Source: RNAcentral
ACUUAGCUCAGUUGGUUAGAGCAACGGUCUGUUAAACCGUAGGUCCAAGGUUCAAAUCCUUGAGUG